RNAcentral lists this unclassified non-coding RNA (227 nucleotides) under uncultured fungus. RNAcentral's name for it is "sequence contains ITS1, 5.8S rRNA gene". The stretch from base 179 to 227 matches the Rfam family "5.8S ribosomal RNA", at positions 1 to 49 of the family's 154-position model. The record is from RNAcentral. Lineage: Eukaryota; Fungi.
UCUCCGUAGGUGAACCUGCGGAGGGAUCAUUACUGAGUGAGGGCUCCGGCCCGACCUCCAACCCCAUGUGAACCGAAACCUGUUGCUUCGGGGGCGACCCUGCCGUUCGGCGCGGCGCCCCCGGAGGCUCAUCAAACCCUGCGUAACUAAGUCGUCGGAGUUUAAACAAAUUAAACAAAACUUUCAACAACGGAUCUCUUGGUUCGGGCAUCGAUGAAGAACGCAGC